UGGCAGCAGCUGAAAAUGAAAUAUAAAAACAUAAUUCAAUCAGCCAACAGAAAGAAGGCAGAGGCUCGCAAAACGGGGGGAGGACCUGCACCACCACCUCUGACAAAUGCAGAGGAGAUGGCCCUGAGCCUGAAUGCUGGAAGGCCAAUGGCUGAGGGAAUUCCUGGAGGGACUUCAUCAGAGCCAGUCACUCCAGAAGAUUUAAGUGCCUUCAUAAAAUAUUCUGAUGGUAAAAUUAGUCUUUUGGAGCCUCCUGUCCCAACAGAACCACAGGCAGUUGUAAGUAGCCUACUCAAUACACCAGAAAUUAUUACAAAUAGUGUUAGCUCUCACGGGUUUGUGCCCAGGAAACAGCACAAAAAUUCGGAGAAAGCGCUUAAGAGCGAGGCACACUUUCCUUACAACUCUGCAAACAGUAGCCUUAUUGAUAUGUUCUGCAUCCCCAAUGUUAUACAGAAAACUACCAUUUGCAAAGAAACGUAAUGCAACGCAAAGCAUCUGCUCGGAUGUUAGAGCACGGCCGCGAUGGCUGAUGUUUCUGAUGUAAGGAUGGAUGAGAUUAUGGAUGUAUCUUAUUGACUGUAAAGAAAAACGGUACCGCUCAAAUAAAAAUGAAUAUGGAUAUGACAAAAAAUCCACUCUGGGUCUCAAAAUCCUCUCCCGACGUAAAUGCAACUCCCUACGGAUUAAUGCAGCCUCUUCAUCCACAGGAUCGUCCAUAAAAGGACAUGCCAUUUCAUUCACUUGAUUUGAUGCGCUCUGCGUGACUGAAAUGUGCGCAAUGAAUGAAUACCGAAAGAAUGAAUGAGGUGAUUAAAUACCACUU
Gasterosteus aculeatus aculeatus (three-spined stickleback) is the source of this 826-nucleotide long non-coding RNA. RefSeq lists it as uncharacterized. The record is from RefSeq and is a predicted model, not a curated record. Lineage: Eukaryota; Metazoa; Chordata; Actinopteri; Perciformes; Gasterosteidae.